UUUGAUUGGUAUGCCUGCAUU
This 21-nucleotide microRNA is filed under the name Medicago truncatula (barrel medic). Its description in RNAcentral is "mtr-miR2651". Lineage: Eukaryota; Viridiplantae; Streptophyta; Magnoliopsida; Fabales; Fabaceae. The record is from miRBase by way of RNAcentral.